Molecule: ribosomal RNA, 490 nt
Filed under: uncultured bacterium
Lineage: Bacteria
Description: partial 16S ribosomal RNA
Rfam family: Bacterial small subunit ribosomal RNA
Source: RNAcentral
AUUGAACGCUGGCGGCAGGCCUAACACAUGCAAGUCGAGCGGCAGCGGAAAGUAGCUUGCUACUUUGCCGGCGAGCGGCGGACGGGUGAGGAAUGUCUGGGGAUCUGCCUGAUGGAGGGGGAUAACUACUGGAAACGGUAGCUAAUACCGCAUAACGUCGCAAGACCAAAGCGGGGGACCUUCGGGCCUCGCGCCAUCAGAUGAACCCAGAUGGGAUUAGCUAGUAGGUGGGGUAAUGGCUCACCUAGGCGACGAUCCGUAGCUGGUCUGAGAGGAUGACCAGACACACUGGAACUGAGACACGGUACAGACUCCUACGGGAGGCAGCAGUGGGGAAUAUUGCACAAUGGGCGCAAGCCUGAUGCAGCCAUGCCGCGUGUAUGAAGAAGGCCUUCGGGUUGUAAAGUACUUUCAGCGAGGAGGAAGGCGGUAAGGUUAAUAACCUUACUGAUUGACGUUACUCGCAGAAGAAGCACCGGCUAACUCCGUG